CAGUUCUCCGCUCGCUCCCAUUCCGGCACUCCCACGGCAGCUCGCGUGAGUGAUGGCCGCCGGAGACGAGGCUGGGAGCGACUCCGGCAGCGACGGCGCGGGGCCUGGCCAGGCGCCCUCGAGGAGACGACUCAAGAUCUGAAAGGAAAAAUAUUGUUUGCUGCAGCCAAUACAACCUUGGUGCCGAGCCCCGACUGAGCACAUUGAUGCGAUCUCCUCUUGUGACGAUGACGAUCUGACAACCAAAGAGAGGCAUUAGGAGGAAUCGGGGAUCACUCGCUGCGCAACCAUGCGACAGGCACCUGCAAAUGUUGUUGCAUACUAGCUGUGUCACAUGAGAAAAACUGAUGACAAGAUUCGGACUGAAUUCCUUUGAGGCAGGCAGCGUUCAAGACAAGAACCACAUUAAACUUCCAAGUAACAAAGAGAGGCAAGAAACAGAUGGUGACACCUUGGAGGAAAUGACCGCAAUCACCGCAAAACCAGACCUUCUCACUACUGAUGCAAAGAAGAGGGAGAGUGAAACGCUGGGUCUUCUUGGCAUGCUUGUCAACCUUUGCACCAGAACCUCUGAAUAGUGUGAAGAACCAUUCGGCGCAAACUAUCGAUUUUAUUGCACGGAAGGAAUUCAUGUACAGUACUUGAUUUGGUCCUGAAUUUAAACUUGAGUCUACAUCGAAGGGUGUCAAAUGGGUAGCCGCAUCCUACGGCAGAAAAUUCCCUACAAAGCAAACAACAAAAGGAAAAAGUGUGUCAAAUUAUA
Long non-coding RNA from Aegilops tauschii subsp. strangulata, 763 nucleotides. RefSeq lists it as uncharacterized. The record is from RefSeq and is a predicted model, not a curated record. NCBI's taxonomy places the organism in Eukaryota, Viridiplantae, Streptophyta, Magnoliopsida, Poales, Poaceae.